GGGGAAUAUUGCACAAUGGGCGCAAGCCUGAUGCAGCGACGCCGCGUGCGGGAUGGAGGCCUUCGGGUUGUAAACCGCUUUUGUUUGGGAGCAAGCCCUUCGGGGUGAGUGUACCUUUCGAAUAAGCACCGGCUAACUACGUGCCAGCAGCCGCGGUAAUACGUAGGGUGCGAGCGUUAUCCGGAUUUAUUGGGCGUAAAGGGCUCGUAGGCGGUUCGUCGCGUCCGGCGUGAAAGUCCAUCGCCUAACGGUGGAUCUGCGCCGGGUACGGGCGGGCUGGAGUGCGGUAGGGGAGACUGGAAUUCCCGGUGUAACGGUGGAAUGUGUAGAUAUCGGGAAGAACACCAAGGGCGAAGGCAGGUCUCUGGGCCGUUACUGACGCUGAGGAGCGAAAGCGUGGGGAGCGAAC
This 409-nucleotide ribosomal RNA is filed under the name uncultured bacterium. RNAcentral describes it as "bacterial SSU rRNA". It matches the Rfam family "Bacterial small subunit ribosomal RNA", at positions 356 to 773 of the family's 1533-position model. The record is from RNAcentral.